This 498-nucleotide ribosomal RNA is filed under the name uncultured bacterium. Its description in RNAcentral is "partial 16S ribosomal RNA". It matches the Rfam family "Bacterial small subunit ribosomal RNA", at positions 30 to 523 of the family's 1533-position model. The record is from RNAcentral.
AUUGAACGCUGGCGGCAUGCCUUACACAUGCAAGUCGAACGGUAACGGGUCUUCGGAUGCUGACGAGUGGCGAACGGGUGAGUAAUACAUCGGAACGUGCCUAGUAGUGGGGGAUAACUACUCGAAAGAGUGGCUAAUACCGCCUGAGAUCUACGGAUGAAAGCAGGGGAUCGCAAGACCUUGUGCUACUCGAGCGGCCGAUGGCAGAUUAGGUAGUUGGUGGGAUAAAAGCUUACCAAGCCGACGAUCUGUAGCUGGUCUGAGAGGACGAUCAGCCACACUGGGACUGAGACACGGCCCAGACUCCUACGGGAGGCAGCAGUGGGGAAUUUUGGACAAUGGGCGCAAGCCUGAUCCAGCAAUGCCGCGUGCAGGAUGAAGGCCUUCGGGUUGUAAACUGCUUUUGUACGGAACGAAAAGCCCCGGGUUAAUACCCUGGGGUCAUGACGGUACCGUAAGAAUAAGCACCGGCUAACUACGUGCCAGCCGCCGCCGUAA